UGGGGAAUUUUGGACAAUGGGCGCAAGCCUGAUCCAGCAAUGCCGCGUGCAGGAUGAAGGCCUUCGGGUUGUAAACUGCUUUUUGUACGGAACGAAAAGCCUCUCUCUAAAUACAGGGGGGCUGAUGACGGUACCGUAAGAAUAAGCACCGGCUAACUACGUGCCAGCAGCCGCGGUAAUACGUAGGGUGCAAGCGUUAAUCGGAAUUACUGGGCGUAAAGCGUGCGCAGGCGGUUUUGUAAGACAGUGGUGAAAUCCCCGGGCUCAACCUGGGAACUGCCAUUGUGACUGCAAGGCUGGAGUGCGGCAGAGGGGGAUGGAAUUCCGCGUGUAGCAGUGAAAUGCGUAGAUAUGCGGAGGAACACCGAUGGCGAAGGCAAUCCCCUGGGCCUGCANUGACGCUCAUGCACGAAAGCGUGGGGAGCAAACAGGAUUA
RNAcentral lists this ribosomal RNA (436 nucleotides) under uncultured bacterium. RNAcentral describes it as "partial 16S ribosomal RNA". It matches the Rfam family "Bacterial small subunit ribosomal RNA", at positions 355 to 780 of the family's 1533-position model. The record is from RNAcentral.